Long non-coding RNA from Impatiens glandulifera, 384 nucleotides. RefSeq lists it as uncharacterized. The record is from RefSeq and is a predicted model, not a curated record. Lineage: Eukaryota; Viridiplantae; Streptophyta; Magnoliopsida; Ericales; Balsaminaceae. The transcript has 2 exons.
AUUUUAAUUUCUUUUGAUAGAGAGAUGUUGAGGGUGCUUCUUUAUCUGGGUUUCGCCUGCCUCUCUUCUCCAUUUUAGGUUUAGGUUUAGGUUUAAGUUGAGAAGAACACAGUGUUUAUUUAAGUCAAAGAUAUUACCCACCGGGCCAUCACCACAGCAUUCAAAAUGAAAGAUGCUGCCUGAGAUGAUAUCUUGCAAGUUUUUAUCAAACCCAUGGAUCCAUUCAUUCUUGUUUUUGGGUAAGACUGUAUAUUAUGUUUCAUGUUUCAGGUUAAAAUUUACACAAGACUUUGGACUUUGUCUGUUAGAGAGGCAUGCAUAUCUUUGUUUUAAAUUAGGAUUCUUUGUUUUCUCAUGAUGUCAUAUACAAUAUCUGAUUUGGGA